AGUCUGGUCUGCGAAGAUGUAACUCUGUGCUUGGCUUUCUCAGGCUUUCCCCUGGGUUUCUGUUUGACCUAAAAACCUAUAAUGCUGAAACCCACCCCCAGUGGGUGGUUCUUACAUUCAACUCAACAGAGGAAAUGACCAGGCCGAAAGGAACAGGAGGAGGCUCUGUUGUGCUGAUAGCAAUCUGAGCUGUUACACUGAAGAGACAUCCAGUUGGUGGACCACAAUGGGCUCUGACUUCCUACUUAAAUAUCCUGAUGUUUAUAGUGGCCUGCCAGGCCACCUGAAUAGAAUGUCGUCUUUAAAACAACUCCCCAGUCUUAUCUGCUUGCCGGCACCCUGUUUCUGAUCAUUUUAUACUAAGUCACAAAGAGAGAUAUUUUGUCUACACAGUGUUGGGCUCACUGAAAACUGUUUGCCUACCUGAAUUUAGAGUCUGGAUGCUCUCAAAAGAAAUUAAGAAACGAAGUCACCUUGGAUUCAUGCAAUUGUCAAGUUUGAGUUAAAAGUAAACUGUCACCAAAAGCCACCUUCUGUCCUGAGAGAUACAUGGUAAGAAGCAACUCCUCCAAGAAACACACCAACCAAACGUCCCCCCAGAAUUUACCAGAGAAAUUGGAAAUGCUAGAGCGCUCACCUUGCUUUCUGGCAGCUGUCUUUUUGAUGCAAUGACUUCACAAACCAACACAUCUAUACCGGUUAGGAUGAUGCUUACUAACUUUGAACCAUGAAAAAUAAAAAGUUGAACAUUUUA
This is a long non-coding RNA of Rattus norvegicus (Norway rat), 754 nucleotides long. RefSeq lists it as uncharacterized. Lineage: Eukaryota; Metazoa; Chordata; Mammalia; Rodentia; Muridae. The record is from RefSeq and is a predicted model, not a curated record.